This 253-nucleotide ribosomal RNA is filed under the name uncultured bacterium. RNAcentral's name for it is "partial 16S ribosomal RNA". It matches the Rfam family "Bacterial small subunit ribosomal RNA", at positions 524 to 776 of the family's 1533-position model. The record is from RNAcentral.
GACGAACCGUGCGAACGUUAUUCGGAAUCACUGGGCUUAAAGGGUGCGUAGGCGGCGCGGAAAGUGGGGUGUGAAAGCCCUCGGCUCAACCGAGGAAUUGCGCUCCAAACUACCGUGCUUGAGUGAGACAGAGGUAAGCGGAACUUCGGGUGGAACGGUGAAAUGUGUUGAUAUCCGAAGGAACACCGGUGGCGAAAGCGGCUUACUGGGUCUCAACUGACGCUGAUGCACGAAAGCCAGGGUAGCAAACGGG